Molecule: long non-coding RNA, 479 nt
Organism: Cynoglossus semilaevis (tongue sole)
Lineage: Eukaryota; Metazoa; Chordata; Actinopteri; Pleuronectiformes; Cynoglossidae
Exons: 3
Source: RefSeq, a predicted model, not a curated record
UCGUCCCUAUGGGAUGUCUGACUCUUAGGGACAGCAGCAGCAGCAGCAGCAACUGCUCCAGGCAUGUGAAGGCCAUGGCAACCUGCUCCAUCAAUCACUGCAUGGGCAUCGCCGUUCCUUCGACGUGUGACGAAGGGGUUUUCCUCGACAGGGUUUAUAUAAUCUAGAAAAAGAGGGACGUAAACAGAGGCACCAAGAAUGUGGUUCCUGUGGGACUCGAACCCAGAACUCUCUGCUUCCCAGGGCUGUUGGAUAACCGUCCUGCUCCUUUUCUCCUUUUGUCCGUUCUCCUAAAAGACCGGUGGGAUCUGCACUGUAGCGCUGUCCAGUGCUGUCCUCCUCUCCACCUGUGACAGAAAAAUAACAGGGUCAACAUUUCAAGAUGACAGACUUGGUGUAAUAUGUCAUUCUCUCUAGUCAAAUAUGAACAGAGAGAGAAAAAAGCUGUAAAAUAAAAUAAAAAUAAACUGACACCAUUG